Molecule: long non-coding RNA, 3660 nt
Organism: Pristis pectinata (smalltooth sawfish)
Lineage: Eukaryota; Metazoa; Chordata; Chondrichthyes; Rhinopristiformes; Pristidae
Exons: 4
Source: RefSeq, a predicted model, not a curated record
CCGGGACCGGACGGCGGGACCGAAGGCGCCGCCGCCGCCCGCCUCCCUCACCUCCUCCUCGCAGUCGCUCUUGAAGCACAGACACGCCGCCCGCUUCUUGUAGCCAUCGCCGUCGAUGUGGACAAUACCGGCAGUGUUUAUCAUCCAUCUCUGAUUGCUGCUGAACUGAGGAGGCAGCUAAAAGGCAACCACACAGAUGACAGACUCACGUCGUCAGCACUUUUACAUUCCUUGGAGUAUGACGGAACUAAUCAGAGAAUAUAUCCUGUAACACAAGUGUCCUUCUUCCACUGGCCAAGUAAUGGAGACCCCCAAGAAGUACCCACCUUUCCCUUUCUACCCCCCAGACUACAGCCUCCCAACCCCCAGGCCCUGAGUGAUGUGAUCAAGAAGACAUUGCCUCCAUCUGACAAUCACAUCCACCGGCUCAGAUACUGGCACUUCACUGGCGGUGGAGGAUAAUUCUGCAUGCGGGGUGCUGCCAGGUACACAGACUGCUGGCGGUGCCGGUGGGACACAGACGUGUAUACCAGCACCCCCCGUGGUGUGAUCACACACCGCUCCUGCUCCAGAGGCCUCAGGGGAGGACUCCCUGAAAGCUGGUGUACAUGUACAUGUACACAAAAACAUUUGGGACUGUGGGAGAGGUUUAUCAUUAUGGGGAAGUCCUUGGAUGUGGUGGAAACCAUGCUGUGACAUUUGAUGGGUGAGAUCAUGUCUUCCACAGGCUGCUACAGUGGAAGCUCAUAGAGUCAUAGAGAGCAGAAACAGGCCCUUUGGCCCACCGCGUCCAUGCUGACCAUUUUACACUAAUCCUAUUUUAUUCUCCCUACAUUCCCAGUAACUUCCUUAGAUUCUACCAUUCACUUGCACGAGGGGCAAUUUACAGUGGACAAUUAACCUACCAACCCGAAUGUCUUUGGGAUGUGGGAGGAAACCGGAGUGCCCGAGGGGAAACCCAUUUGGUCACGAGGAGAACAUGCCAAUUGCACACAGACAGCAGCGGAUGUCAGGAUUGAACCAGAGUCACUGGAACUGUGAGACAGCACCCUACCAGCUCUGCCACUGUGCUGCUUUUACAUCUGCCAACCAUAAUCCUAACCCUAAACUUAGCUUGCUGCCACUGGGUCUGGAUUGCAGUGUUCGAUGGGGAUCCGAGAGUGUGAUGCCUCUCCAGGAAUUUGUCUUCCAAUGGAGUAGUUGGAUCACUGGAGCAGUUCCCAGGGGCACUGCCAGUGGCCCCCAUGGGCAACAAAUCUGUUGUCCUUUGUCAGGAUGAUGGCAUCGAUGCUCAGAGCCCUGCCAUUCGGACUGUGCCUUUGCUGAUGCAGUUAGCCGGUUCGCCCAGACUGCUACUGCUCACGAUGAGACCCUCAGUUCAAAGCUCAGGCCAGGAACUGCUCAGGGCUGCCCUUGACAGCCAACUGCAGCUUCCUUCACUGCAAGUGGAUAACACCAUGAGGGAGCACGCUGUGGAAUAGUAGCAUAGCCAGAGGAGGAGAGGCACUGUACCAUUAAGAUAUCUUUAUUAGUCACAUUUACAUCGAAACACACAGUGAAAUACAUCUUUUUGCAUAGCAUGUUCUGGGGGCUCCUCGCAAGUGUCGCCUCGCUUCCAGCACCAACAUAGCAUGCCCACAACUUCCUAACCCGUACAUCUUUGGAAUGUGGGAGGAAACCGGAGCACCCGGAGGACACCCACGCAGGCAUGGGGAGAACGUACAAACUCCUUACAGACAGCGGCCGGAAUUGAACCCGGGUCGCUGGUGCUGUAGUAGUGUUACGCUAACCACUACACUACCGUGUCUUGAAUGGAUGUAUACAUUGCUUGGUGUGGAGAUGAUAGAGGGGUGGCAACGUCUGAACUGAGCCACAACGGGCACUUGGUUGUCUGUCUAUUGUCAUGGGUAGUGAGAUUCAUUGGGAGCACUUACUUAAUAGCAGUAACUGUUGUUGAAGCUGAUGAGAAGCCACCUUCCUGAUUUGCUUCAGUGCCUGGUAGUGACAGAAGCCCAACCCCACUGUUAUGGAAGCAGCUCCAACACUGAGGAUGGGUGAAUGGCAAAGCGGAGACGGGAUGCGGUGAAAUCCACCCCGGAGGACCCAAGGAGCAGCUGCCUUGUGAUGCGGAAUAAGCACUGAUGAGUGUUUGCUUUCCAUUCUGUAUGACGCAUGCUGCUAGCAUUGCAAUGUGUCAAGGUGGUUAAUGGGGGUGGCAGUGGACAUAUGGAUGUUGGGAUCAGGUAUAGUGCAUUCAGCCCUUGAACCUGCUCUAUUGUUCAGGUUGAUGAUCUCUGCAUUAUAAUACCUACCUUUGCUCCAGCUCCCAUUGCACACUCACCCAACAAAAUGUACCAAUAUCAUAAGUCACAUGUCACAGAAGUCACAUAUUAGUCACACGUACAUCGAAACACACAGUGAAAUGCAUCUUUUGCGUAGAGUGUUCUGGGGGCAGCCCGCAAGUGUCGCCAUGCUUCCGGCGCCAGCACAGCAUGCCCACAACUUCCUAACCCGUACGUCUUUGGAAUGUGGGAGGAAACUGGAGCCCCCGCAAGAAACCUAAUCAGACACGGGGAGAACGUGCAAACUCCUUACAGACAGCGGCCGGAACUGAACCCGGGUCGCUGGCGCUGUAAUAGCGUUAUGCUAACUGCUACACCACCAUGCCGCCCACAGUUUCAUCAGUCAUGAAAGUUUGAAUUGACUCCCAACAUUCACAGCCAUUAAAGAGUUCUACGUUUGCCUCGGUGUUUCCAUUAUAAAUGCACACAUGGGAAUUUAUUAUAAAAAUGGUAACAAGAAAAGAAUAGAGAUGUAAAAUAAUUAAUGUCUUACAUUUUAUUACGUUGUAAUAUUUUGUUUUUUUUUACAUAGAGUUAUUGUGCAUUGACAGAUACAUCUUGAUCCUGUUGAUAUAAGCAUUUCAAUUUCAUCUGUCAUUUUUGGUGCAGUCUCUGAAUUAUGUUACCUGCCUCCAAACAAUCCAUCUUGAUUUUAUACUUUGCGCCAGUAAUUUAUUGUCAGGGAAUGUUGUCAAAAUUAAGGCACUAACAUACCCCAGGCCGUAGCCAGCAGAGUGACAUAAUUAGAACAGCGGCCCGGAGCUCUGCCCUUUAUUCAGUGCAAGGUCUCCUGUUACCAGCCUCAAACUUCAUGGAAACUUUUGUUCUGGAAUCGAUCACGAUACAAAGACAAAUUUAUAGAGGUGUCUACAGUUCCCGUUUUAAUCUUUCUGUUCAUAAUAUAAAUGCUUGGCUUUCUGCUCAUCAGUACCUUAAAUUUAACUGACCCAAAUAGUAUUGCAGCUCUCCAUGCUGCUUUAAUUAAAAUAUGUUAAUCAUGCAACAAAUAGGUAAAACAUGCAACUUUUAUUUUGUGCCUUUAAAGUAGUAAAACAUUCCAAGGCAUUUCACAGUUGUGGCCUCAUGAAAAUGUGGUGCCAGGCUGAGGAAGGAGCCUUCAACAUCAAGUGUUUGGCCAGGAGUGGUUUUUAAGCAGCAACUUAAGAGAGGAGAGAGAAUAGGGAAGUGAGGAGGUUCCAGGGGCAACACCUUCAGCAGAAGGACUGCAGUGGUUCAAAUAAGACGCUCACCACCACCUUCUCAAGAGCGGUUAGGUAAUAAGUGCUGGCUUCGCCAGUGACACCUAGAUCCCCAGAAA